Molecule: ribosomal RNA, 497 nt
Filed under: uncultured bacterium
Lineage: Bacteria
Description: partial 16S ribosomal RNA
Rfam family: Bacterial small subunit ribosomal RNA
Source: RNAcentral
AAUGAACGCUGGCGGCAUGCCUAACACAUGCAAGUCGAACGACCACACGAGCAGCUUUCUCCCCUACCGUUAGCGACGGGCGGGUGAGUAACACGUACAUAACCUUCCUAUUUGUCUUGGGUGACUUCGGCCGACCGAAUACACUACCCGCUCAUAUAUUGAACCGCAUGGAUCAAUAGUCCUUGACGCUUUUGCUGUCCCUUUUAGACGUUUCCGCGCUGCAUUAGCUAGUUGGUAAGGUAACGGCCUACCAAGGCGACGAUGCGUAGCUGACCUGAGAGGGUGAUCAGCCACACUGGAACUGAGACACGGUCCAGACUCCUACGGGAGGCAGCAGUAGGGAAUCUUGCGCAAUGGGCGAAAGCCUGAUGGAGCAAUGCCGCGUGGGUGAUGAAGGUCUUCGGAUUGUAAAACACUUUUAUUAGGAAAGAAAAAAAGUGUAAGAAUAUCUGGAUGUCUUGACGGUACCUAAUGAGAAAGCACCGGCUAACUACGUG